RNAcentral lists this small RNA (356 nucleotides) under Arabidopsis thaliana (thale cress). RNAcentral's name for it is "ATSL194930". Lineage: Eukaryota; Viridiplantae; Streptophyta; Magnoliopsida; Brassicales; Brassicaceae. The record is from RNAcentral.
CCCUAGCUUUUCACUCACAAUCACGGCCAAGCCUAACAAGAACCUUAGCACCUCUAUUUAUACUAUCGAGGUCUUUGGUCUUCUAGGUUAGCCUUCGAGAUCUUGGAUCACUCCAAAUCUUCGCGUGAAUAUCUCCUCUCCAAACUGAACUCAUCCUGUUGUGAUCUCCACGUCAUUCGUUCAUUUGGCGGUAUAUCCACGUGAGCAUCAAUUACUUGAUCUUCACUUUAGUCUUCUGAAACAGCUUCCAGCUUGUUCCAGCAAUCAGCACUCCUUCUGGUUUGUCCUGACAGAGGGUGCACUAACAGUCAGUGCCAGAGAGGGAGUACUUCUCAGAUGAUGACAUUAUUGAUGGA